CACGUAGGGUGCGAGCGUUGUCCGGAAUUAUUGGGCGUAAAGAGCUCGUAGGCGGUGUGUCGCGUCGGCCGUGGAAACCUGCAGCUUAACUGUGGGCUUGCGGUCGAUACGGGCAUCACUGGAGUUCGGCAGGGGAGACUGGAAUUCCUGGUGUAGCGGUGAAAUGCGCAGAUAUCAGGAGGAACACCGGUGGCGAAGGCGGGUCUCUGGGCCGAUACUGACGCUGAGGAGCGAAAGCGUGGGGAGCGAACAGG
RNAcentral lists this ribosomal RNA (254 nucleotides) under uncultured bacterium. RNAcentral describes it as "partial 16S ribosomal RNA". It matches the Rfam family "Bacterial small subunit ribosomal RNA", at positions 524 to 776 of the family's 1533-position model. The record is from RNAcentral.